Molecule: small nucleolar RNA, 136 nt
Filed under: Cynoglossus semilaevis (tongue sole)
Lineage: Eukaryota; Metazoa; Chordata; Actinopteri; Pleuronectiformes; Cynoglossidae
Description: Small nucleolar RNA SNORA27 (ENSCSEG00000005369.1)
Source: RNAcentral
UGUCCCCUUUUAGCUUUGCCCACUUGAGGUGUUUUGUGUCUUAAGUGGCCAUUAUGAAGGGGUAAACAAUGGUCCUCUCAAGAGACCUGAGUCAGGAUCUACAUUUCUGGCUCCGGACCAAUACAGAGGAACAAAU